GCUCGAGAGAUGUUGAUAGAAAAACGC
This 27-nucleotide small RNA is filed under the name Bombyx mori (domestic silkworm). Its description in RNAcentral is "ovarian small RNA-17086". The record is from RNAcentral. Lineage: Eukaryota; Metazoa; Arthropoda; Insecta; Lepidoptera; Bombycidae.